GACGAACGCUGGCGGCGUGCCUAAUACAUGCAAGUAGGACGCACAGCCUAUACCGUAGCUUGCUACACCAUAGGCUGUGAGUUGCGAACGGGUGAGUAACGCGUAGGUAACCUGCCUAUUAGAGGGGGAUAACUAUUGGAAACGAUAGCUAAUACCGCAUAACAGUAUGUAACACAUGUUAGAUGCUUGAAAGAUGCAAUUGCAUCGCUAGUAGAUGGACCUGCGUUGUAUUAGCUAGUAGGUAGGGUAAUGGCCUACCUAGGCAACGAUACAUAGCCGACCUGAGAGGGUGAUCGGCCACACUGGGACUGAGACACGGCCCAGACUCCUACGGGAGGCAGCAGUAGGGAAUCUUCGGCAAUGGGGGGAACCCUGACCGAGCAACGCCGCGUGAGUGAAGAAGGUUUUCGGAUCGUAAAGCUCUGUUGUUAAGGAAGAACGAGUGUGAGAAUGGAAAGUUCAUACUGGGACGGUACU
RNAcentral lists this ribosomal RNA (477 nucleotides) under Streptococcus anginosus. RNAcentral's name for it is "bacterial SSU rRNA". It matches the Rfam family "Bacterial small subunit ribosomal RNA", at positions 28 to 479 of the family's 1533-position model. Lineage: Bacteria; Bacillati; Bacillota; Bacilli; Lactobacillales; Streptococcaceae. The record is from RNAcentral.